This is a small nuclear RNA of Erinaceus europaeus (western European hedgehog), 101 nucleotides long. The record is from Ensembl. Lineage: Eukaryota; Metazoa; Chordata; Mammalia; Eulipotyphla; Erinaceidae.
GCACUCACUUCGGCAGCACAUAUACUUAAAUUGAAAUGAUACAGAGAAGAUAGCAUGGCCCCUGCACAUAUAUAUCAAUACAUAUCUGUCUCCAUCUUGGU